This 448-nucleotide ribosomal RNA is filed under the name uncultured bacterium. RNAcentral's name for it is "bacterial SSU rRNA". It matches the Rfam family "Bacterial small subunit ribosomal RNA", at positions 329 to 794 of the family's 1533-position model. The record is from RNAcentral.
CGCCAGACUCCUACGGGAGGCAGCAGUGGGGGAUAUUGCACAAUGGGGGAAACCCUGAUGCAGCGACGCCGCGUGAGUGAAGAAGUAAUUCGUUACGUAAAGCUCUAUCAGCAGGGAAGAAAAUGACGGUACCUGAGUAAGAAGCCCCGGCUAACUACGUGCCAGCAGCCGCGGUAAUACGUAGGGGGCAAGCGUUAUCCGGAAUUACUGGGUGUAAAGGGAGCGUAGACGGCAAUGCAAGUCCGGAGUGGAAUGCGGCAGCUCAACUGCCGAACUGCUCUGGAAACUGUAUGGCUUGAGUGCAGGAGGGGUAAGCGGAAUUCCUGGUGUAGCGGUGAAAUGCGUAGAUAUCAGGAGGAACACCGGUGGCGAAGGCGGCUUACUGGACUGUAACUGACGUUGAGGCUCGAAAGCGUGGGGAGCGAACAGGAUUAGAUACCCGAGUAUU